Molecule: long non-coding RNA, 1447 nt
Filed under: Scophthalmus maximus (turbot)
Lineage: Eukaryota; Metazoa; Chordata; Actinopteri; Pleuronectiformes; Scophthalmidae
Description: lncRNA (ENSSMAG00000037120.1)
Source: RNAcentral
GGAGCACACUUUGAAUAACCGAGCUGUAGUCUCCACAUUAUUCAAUUCUGUGAUUGAGAUUGAUGUGGACUGUAUAAAUCGUAUUAAUAAUUUAUGGUUCACUUAUGCCAAAACCUGCCACAGAGCACAAAAGAUCACGACCGACGGCCACAGUGAGAGGUUCUGACUGUCAGCGAGAAAAAAGGCCGAUGAAUAAUACAGCAGAAAUGAUGUGAAACUAAUCUUGAUGUGAAACUAAUCUUUCGAAAUGUUGUGCUUUUCUUUGAGUGCAUGAGUUUUAUUUUUUCCAUAUACUGACGCUCAGUGCCCUGCUUUUCAAUUUAAGAAUUAGCAGAGAGUUUAAUGAUAAUUACUGUUAUAUGUAAAAACAGCAGAGCGUAAUGAGUGGCUUGGCUUGUUAAGUUGCUCGUAAAACAUUUUCUAAGUGUAAGAGACAUGAUUAUUAUAGAGCUUGUGUGAAUUGGUUAUUUUUUUUCCCCUUAGGAAAGAAGAAGAAGAACGGCAAGAUGGAAAUGUGCAAGGUGAAAGUGUGAAGAAGCAGGGGUCAAGUUUAAGGCGGAAGGAUGUGGUUCUGCCUUCAUGUGCGUACGUGAGCUCUGGCACGCUUCUGCUGCUGGUCUACGGGGCCGUAAACGUCUCGUCCUGGGACCGGAAGCUUCGAUGGAUUUCCAACAAAAAGCCAGACUUUCCCUCCCUUAGUUAGAUCUCAGUGACAAAAUGCUGUUGAAGCCUUCAGUUAUAUAUUGAUCAAGAACAUUUUAAAUAAUUAAUCCUUCUUCUGUAAAGGCAAAAGGUCACAGAAGUAUGAUGCUGUUAAAAUUAUAACCGUUCUGACUAGAUCAUCUGUAUUUUUGGAGUAAUUAGACUCUAGCAAAUGAGGGCAAUCUAAAUCUGGAUGUAAGCUCUCCAAUAUGCUUUUUAAUAUGUAGGAAGACUUAUACGUAACACACACGCGUACUUUAUUUGUAAUACGAUGCAAAUUCCUCUCCUCCUCAGCAAGGUCAGCGGUCAGAGUCAUGUGCCUCGGAGAGUAACCUUUUUACCUUUUACCUUGAAUUCACUUGGUCAGGUCCAAUGAUUUGGCUUUGUUCAGUAAAAAUAAAUCUCUAGCACCAUCUAUUGGACAAUAUUGUGCAAAACAGUUAGAAAUACACACCUGCACUGAUUUUCCAGCUAAAUUAAAGGGGCAUACCUCUUAUUUUCAGCCUGAAUCUGAAAAAGAGGAAUAUGGGAACACUCGUUCCUCAUUUCAUUGCACUAGCAACAUUUUCAGUUGAUUAAACCAACAACUGGUCCGACAUUGUCCCCAUCACCGUCUCUGCUCCUGACAACUCAAACUGUAACCUGUAAAAUGAGCAGGAAGAACAACUAAGCAGAUAUGGGCCAUGUAUCUCUUUCCACCAGUUCCUUGAGUCCAGCGUUGUUUUAAAAAAACAGCACCGCCUUA